RNAcentral lists this unclassified non-coding RNA (320 nucleotides) under soil metagenome. Its description in RNAcentral is "partial contains 5.8S ribosomal RNA, internal transcribed spacer 2, and large subunit ribosomal RNA". The stretch from base 1 to 120 matches the Rfam family "5.8S ribosomal RNA", at positions 35 to 154 of the family's 154-position model. The record is from RNAcentral.
GAUGAAGAACGUAGCGAAAUGCGAUAGCUAGUGUGAAUUGCAGAUUUCAGUGAAUCAUCGAGUCUUUGAACGCACAUUGCGCCCCUUGGUAUUCCUAGGGGCAUGCCUAUUCGAACGUCGUCCCCCUCUCUCAAGCGCAAGCUUGGUGUUGGGGCCUGCCCCUGAAAAACGGCGGCAGCCCUUGAAAACAUCGGCGGGCCCAGUGCUCUGGGGGGCCUUGAAGCCCGCCGUUAAGCCCUUCGUGGGCACCACCAAAACCAGGUCGACCUCGAAUUAGGUAGGGAUACCCGCUGAACUUAAGCAUAUCAAUAAGCGGAGGA